GGGUCGGUAGCUCAAUUGGGAGAGCACAUGGUUCGCAAUCAUGAGGUUGGGGGUUCGAUCCCCCUCCGAUCCA
This 73-nucleotide transfer RNA is filed under the name Candidatus Omnitrophota bacterium. Its description in RNAcentral is "tRNA-Ala". It matches the Rfam family "tRNA". Rfam says of the family: Transfer RNA (tRNA) molecules are approximately 80 nucleotides in length. The record is from RNAcentral. RNAcentral also lists the same sequence under 1 other name. Lineage: Bacteria; Pseudomonadati; Candidatus Omnitrophota.